This 733-nucleotide long non-coding RNA is filed under the name Trifolium pratense (red clover). RNAcentral's name for it is "long non-coding RNA (TPRA_LNC013140)". The record is from RNAcentral. Lineage: Eukaryota; Viridiplantae; Streptophyta; Magnoliopsida; Fabales; Fabaceae.
CAUUUUGAUUGUUCUUGAAAGCUUGGAGAAUUGUAUAGAAAACAAGAAACUUUGAGCAAGUACACAUUUCCAGCAGAAAAUAUCUGGUGCUAGUUUUUCAUUUUCUCUGAAGUCAGUACUUAAUUACAAUAAUUACAUGGAAUGAAAUAACAAAUAUCCACUACUAGUUUCUUUUUCAUGGCAAGACUUGAGAAUUACAAUACUUACAUGCAAACAAUUUGAUCAUGAUUAGUGGUUACAAGACUUGAAAAUAAUUCUGCAGACUCCUCCAGACGUGUAAAAGUUAUCCAAUAUCCUUUUUACCAACAAGUAUCAAAAGCAGCAUCGACCAUUUUCUAUAAGACUGAUUAUGCGAGAAAAAGUGCUACUGAUUUUACCUCUUCAAAAGAUAAACAAACCAGGAUACUUUCUUUCAUUUGCAAAUUGUAAGCUUAGUCAUAGAAGUGGCGAGAAAUUAGGCGUGACUGGAAGCUUCACUGCUCCCUUCAAGCAAUGGCUUCGUUUUCCCUAUUAGAGCAGUGGUUGAUUCGUCUUCAUCAUCUUUGUUAAACAGAUCCUCACUUUUCAAAAAGGUUCCUGUAGAAUUCAUACGAUUAAGCAAUUAUAAUCCAGCUAUAUGUCAAUUCUCAACAGUAUAAUAAACUUUCUUCAAGUGAUUAGUAGCGAGUUUUCUUGGUGUCACUGUCAAAUUGUUGGUGUGGCCAACCAACAAUGAUCAGUUUUCAAGCAAAUU